UUGACCUCGGAUCAGGUAGGAAUCCCG
Molecule: ribosomal RNA, 27 nt
Filed under: Xylaria sp. 14 RV-2015
Lineage: Eukaryota; Fungi; Ascomycota; Sordariomycetes; Xylariales; Xylariaceae
Description: partial 28S ribosomal RNA
Source: RNAcentral